Molecule: transfer RNA, 60 nt
Filed under: Ruidocollaris sinensis
Lineage: Eukaryota; Metazoa; Arthropoda; Insecta; Orthoptera; Tettigoniidae
Description: tRNA-Asn
Source: RNAcentral
AAUUGAAACCAAAAUAGAGGUAUAUUACUGUUAAUAAUAUUAUUGAAACUUUUUCCAAUU